This 52-nucleotide ribosomal RNA is filed under the name Erysiphe australiana. Its description in RNAcentral is "partial 28S ribosomal RNA". Lineage: Eukaryota; Fungi; Ascomycota; Leotiomycetes; Helotiales; Erysiphaceae. The record is from RNAcentral.
GAUCCGUUGGGGGGGACACAUACAGAACGUUGUCAGAACUUUUACUUAUUCU